Molecule: long non-coding RNA, 325 nt
Organism: Solanum pennellii
Lineage: Eukaryota; Viridiplantae; Streptophyta; Magnoliopsida; Solanales; Solanaceae
Exons: 2
Source: RefSeq, a predicted model, not a curated record
CACUGGUGAACAAGAACCAAGGCUCGGAAGAGGGGUUUGUCUGUGGGUUAGGACGUGUGUUCGUGGCUGUUAGUCAAAUCUGAAAAAGGUGCAGGCUCUGGUGGACGUUGAAGGUAUUAUUGCAGCUAUUCGGACUCAGAGAUUUCAUCCGGACUUGGUAGGUCCUCAUGCAUUCGAGGAUUCCUACCUUAAGUUUCUUGCUUAGUAUUAGGUUUGAAAUACUGGAGUAUGUUCCACUAGUGUUUCUUUUCGACUUUAUUCAGACGCUUGUAAUGGUGCCGUUUUUACAAGUAUUACUUAUGAAAUGAGAUUCUAUUUCUUUUAA